AGCCAGCAGCCGCGGUAAUACGUAGGGGGCUAGCGUUGUCCGGAAUCAUUGGGCGUAAAGCGCGCGUAGGCGGCCCGGUAAGUCCGCUGUAAAAGUCAAAGGCUCAACCUUUGAAUGUCAGUGGAUACUGCCGGGCUAGAGUCCGGAAGAGGCGAGUGGAAUUCCUGGUGUAGCGGUGGAAUGCGCAGAUAUCAGGAGGAACACCAACGGCGAAGGCAGCUCGCUGGGACGGUACUGACGCUGAGGCGCGAAAGCGUGGGGAGCGAACAGGAUUAGAUACCCUGGUAGUCCACGCCGUAAACGAUGGGCACUAGGUGUGGGAGGUGUCGACUCCUCCCGUGCCGGCGCUAACGCAUUAAGUGCCCCGCCUGGGGAGUACGGCCGCAAGGCUAAAACUCAAAGGAAUUGACGGGGGCCCGCACAAGC
Molecule: ribosomal RNA, 426 nt
Filed under: uncultured bacterium
Lineage: Bacteria
Description: bacterial SSU rRNA
Rfam family: Bacterial small subunit ribosomal RNA
Source: RNAcentral